Molecule: non-coding RNA, 856 nt
Organism: Pelobates cultripes (western spadefoot toad)
Lineage: Eukaryota; Metazoa; Chordata; Amphibia; Anura; Pelobatidae
Source: the annotation of a GenBank genome assembly
AAGGAAAGGAAGUUGCCUAAUAAUUAUGCACACCUGAUAUAGGGUGUUGAUGUCAUUAGACCACACCCCUUCUCAUUACAGAGAUGCACAUCACCUAAUAUGCUUAAUUGGUAGUAGGCUUUCGAGCCUAUACAGCUUGGAGUAAGACAACAUGCAUAAAGAGGAUGAUGUGGUCAAAAUACUCAUUUGCCUAAUAAUUCUGCACUCCCUGUACAUCAAGUCUAUGUUGUCUGUCAUGAAUGAGUUAAUUUAUAUUGUUAGAGAAUAUGAAGUUAUGAUGUGGGCAUUAAAAGUAUAUUUAUUGUGAACAACUUCAUUGUUGUUUUAUUACUGUGGCCACUAACGUGUAUGUUGCACAUAUGUUGAUGUAUUAAUGAGGUGAUGAAAACCAUGUUUAAACUAGUAUGUAUAUUUUUUUAUAAUAGUAGCUUUAGCACUUACAUUAGGAGCAACAUAAAAAUGUGCUGUAUUUGUUGAAAUAUGUGGAAAACCAUUUUUAUAACUGUAAAUAUGGGCAGUGAUUUUGUAGGAAAUAGAUUUUAGCAGUGUUACUUUAUUUACCAAAUGCACAGCAUCCUCAAAUCGUGAGAUGAUUAAGAAUGGUGGGAGAGUGUUGGGUUAUCGGAACAACAAAGUGUCUCAUGCUUAAUGAUUUUGUUGUUUUUUAAUAAUGUAGCAUCACAAAUUUACUGUACAUCUGGGAUCUGUUUACCAUGAGGCAUACAACAGCCGUGACAUAAAUGUAUCAUGUUUAUUCAUUUAUGUGUGUUUGUUUUUUUUUCCUAUUUAAAUAGAGAUUGUGUACCUGCUGCCCUCUCUGCAGUGGAUAUAGGGGGUGAGCAAAGGGCUAGUAAUU